This 433-nucleotide ribosomal RNA is filed under the name uncultured bacterium. RNAcentral's name for it is "partial 16S ribosomal RNA". It matches the Rfam family "Bacterial small subunit ribosomal RNA", at positions 29 to 507 of the family's 1533-position model. The record is from RNAcentral.
AACGAACGCUGGCGGCAUGCCUAACACAUGCAAGUCGAACGAAGCCUUCGGGCUUAGUGGCGCACGGGUGCGUAACGCGUGGGAAUCUGCCCCUUGCUUCGGAAUAACAGUUAGAAAUGACUGCUAAUACCGGAUGAAGUCUUCGGACCAAAGAUUUAUCGGACAGGGAUGAGCCGGCGUAGGAUAAGGUAGUUGGUGGGGUAAAGGCCUACCAAGGCGAAGAUCCUUAGCUGGUCUGAGAGGAUGAUCAGCCACACUGGGACUGAGACACGGCCCAGACUCCUACGGGAGGCAGCAGGGGGGAAUAUUGGACGAUGGACGCAAGACUGAGCCAGCAGUGCCGCGUGAGUGAUGAAGGCGUGAGGGUUGUAAAGCUCUUUUACCAGGGAUGAUAAUGACAGUACCUGGAGAAUAAGCUCCGGCUAACUCCGUG